This 507-nucleotide ribosomal RNA is filed under the name uncultured bacterium. Its description in RNAcentral is "bacterial SSU rRNA". It matches the Rfam family "Bacterial small subunit ribosomal RNA", at positions 30 to 527 of the family's 1533-position model. The record is from RNAcentral.
AUUGAACGCUGGCGGAAUGCUUUACACAUGCAAGUCGAACGGCAGCACGGGGCAACCUGGUGGCGAGUGGCGAACGGGUGAGUAAUACAUCGGAACGUGCCCAAUCGUGGGGGAUAACGUAGCGAAAGUUACGCUAAUACCGCAUACGAUCUACGGAUGAAAGCGGGGGAUCGCAAGACCUCGCGCGAUUGGAGCGGCCGAUGUCAGAUUAGGUAGUUGGUGGGGUAAAGGCUCACCAAGCCGACGAUCUGUAGCUGGUCUGAGAGGACGACCAGCCACACUGGGACUGAGACACGGCCCAGACUCCUACGGGAGGCAGCAGUGGGGAAUUUUGGACAAUGGGCGCAAGCCUGAUCCAGCCAUUCCGCGUGCAGGAUGAAGGCCUUCGGGUUGUAACUGCUUUGUUACGGAACGAACGGUACUCUCUAAUACAGGGGCUAAUGACGGUACCGUAAGAAUAAGACACCGGCUAACUACGUAGCCAGCAGCCGCGGUAACUAGUCUACG